This 24-nucleotide microRNA is filed under the name Ciona intestinalis (vase tunicate). RNAcentral describes it as "cin-miR-5608-5p". The record is from miRBase by way of RNAcentral. Lineage: Eukaryota; Metazoa; Chordata; Ascidiacea; Phlebobranchia; Cionidae.
UUUUAUCCCGAUCGUGGUACUAGA